CUGAACAGGCGGGCCUCGAUCCCGCG
RNAcentral lists this transfer RNA (26 nucleotides) under Anolis cybotes (large-headed anole). RNAcentral's name for it is "partial tRNA-Asx". The record is from RNAcentral. Lineage: Eukaryota; Metazoa; Chordata; Lepidosauria; Squamata; Anolidae.